UGGGGAAUCUUCCGCAAUGGACGAAAGUCUGACGGAGCAACGCCGCGUGAGUGAAGACGGCCUUCGGGUUGUAAAGCUCUGUGAUCCGGGACGAAAGAGCCUGAGGUAAAUAGCCUAAGGAAGUGACGGUACCGGAAAAGCAAGCCACGGCUAACUACGUGCCAGCAGCCGCGGUAAUACGUAGGUGGCAAGCGUUGUCCGGAAUUAUUGGGCGUAAAGCGCGCGCAGGCGGCUUACUAAGUCCAUCUUAAAAGUGCGGGGCUUAACCCCGUGGUGGGAUGGAAACUGGAAAGCUGGAGUAUCGGAGAGGAAAGUGGAAUUCCUAGUGUAGCGGUGAAAUGCGUAGAGAUUAGGAAGAACACCGGUGGCGAAGGCGACUUUCUGGGCGAAAACUGACGCUGAGGCGCGAAAGCGUGGGGAGCAAACAGG
RNAcentral lists this ribosomal RNA (429 nucleotides) under Fusobacteriota bacterium. RNAcentral describes it as "Fusobacteria bacterium partial 16S ribosomal RNA". It matches the Rfam family "Bacterial small subunit ribosomal RNA", at positions 355 to 776 of the family's 1533-position model. The record is from RNAcentral. Lineage: Bacteria; Fusobacteriati; Fusobacteriota.